This 238-nucleotide ribosomal RNA is filed under the name uncultured bacterium. Its description in RNAcentral is "partial 16S ribosomal RNA". It matches the Rfam family "Bacterial small subunit ribosomal RNA", at positions 96 to 334 of the family's 1533-position model. The record is from RNAcentral.
UGGCGGACGGGUGAGUAACGCGUGGGUAACCUGCCUCAUACAGGGGGAUAACAGUUAGAGAUGACUGCUAAUACCGCAUAAGACCACAGCACCGCAUGGUGCAGGGGUAAAAACUCCGGUGGUAUGAGAUGGACCCGCGUCUGAUUAGGUAGUUGGUGGGGUAACGGCCUACCAAGCCGACGAUCAGUAGCCGACCUGAGAGGGUGACCGGCCACAUUGGGACUGAGACACGGCCCAA